This 134-nucleotide small nucleolar RNA is filed under the name Sphenodon punctatus (tuatara). RNAcentral's name for it is "U8 small nucleolar RNA (ENSSPUG00000017561.1)". It matches the Rfam family "U8 small nucleolar RNA". From Rfam's summary of the family: U8 is a member of the C/D class of snoRNA which contain the C (UGAUGA) and D (CUGA) box motifs. Lineage: Eukaryota; Metazoa; Chordata; Lepidosauria; Sphenodontia; Sphenodontidae. The record is from Rfam by way of RNAcentral.
UCGUCAGUGAGGUAUAUCCUUACCUGUUCCUCCUCCGGGAGAACAGUACAUGAUGAAUGGAGAACGCAUGAGAAAUGAUUAUAUUCUCUCUGCAGGGGUGGGGAACGCAACACCCCGCCCUGCUCCUUUCUGAU